RNAcentral lists this ribosomal RNA (557 nucleotides) under uncultured bacterium. RNAcentral describes it as "bacterial SSU rRNA". It matches the Rfam family "Bacterial small subunit ribosomal RNA", at positions 338 to 916 of the family's 1533-position model. The record is from RNAcentral.
CCUACGGGAGGCAGCAGUGGGGAAUCUUGCACAAUGGAGGAAACUCUGAUGCAGCGAUGCCGCGUGAGUGAAGAAGGCCCUUGGGUUGUAAGCUCUUUUGUCGGGAAAGAUAAUGACUGUACCCGAAGAAUAAGGUCCGGCUAACUUCGUGCCAGCAGCCGCGGUAAUACGAAGGGACCUAGCGUAAUUCGGAAUUACUGGGCGUAAAGCGCGCGUAGGCGGUUAAGUAAGUUAAUUGUGAAAGCCCAAAGCUCAACUUUGGAAUUGCAAUUAAAACUAUUUAGCUAGAGUUUAUCAGAGGAAAGCGGAAUACAUAGUGUAGAGGUGAAAUUCGUAGAUAUUAUGUAGAACACCAGUUGCGAAGGCGGCUUUCUGGGAUAACACUGACGCUGAGGUGCGAAAGUAUGGGUAGCGAAGAGGAUUAGAUACCCUCGUAGUCCAUACCGUAAACGAUGAUUGUUAGAUGUUGGAAAUUUAUUUUCAGUAUCACAGCUAACGCGUUAAACAAUCCGCCUGGGGAGUACGACCGCAAGGUUAAAACUCAAAUGAAUUGACGG